This 460-nucleotide ribosomal RNA is filed under the name uncultured bacterium. RNAcentral describes it as "partial 16S ribosomal RNA". It matches the Rfam family "Bacterial small subunit ribosomal RNA", at positions 338 to 795 of the family's 1533-position model. The record is from RNAcentral.
CCUACGGGAGGCAGCAGUGAGGAAUAUUGGUCAAUGGGCGUAAGCCUGAACCAGCCAAGUCGCGGGAGGGAUGAAGGUUCUAUGGAUCGUAAACCUCUUGUAUAAGGGAAUAAAGUGUGGGACGUGUCCUGUUUUGUAUGUACCUUAUGAAUAAGGAUCGGCUAACUCGGUGCCAGCAGCCGCGGUAAUACGGAGGAUCCGAGCGUUAUCCGGAUUUAUUGGGUUUAAAGGGUGCGUAGGCGGCCUUUUAAGUCAGCGGUGAAAGUCUGUGGCUCAACCAUAGAAUUGCCGUUGAAACUGGGAGGCUUGAGUAUGUUUGAGGCAGGCGGAAUGCGUGGUGUAGCGGUGAAAUGCUUAGAUAUCACGCAGAACCCCGAUUGCGAAGGCAGCCUGCCAAGCCAUGACUGACGCUGAUGCACGAAAGCGUGGGGAUCAAACAGGAUUAGAUACCCCUGUAGUC